AAUAUCCUGGAUUGUACGUAAAGUGAUUAGUUCUUUAUAAAUCCGAACAUUUCUAAUAAGGGAAUCUGACGCUCAAAUUCGGUGUUGAAUGCCUAGCUUUUUUCACCUAGGACUCCUAAAGAAUUUGAUAAGAUACCCACCUGCUAAUUUAGCGGGUUUACAUCCUAACACUUACGGCAAUUUGGGUCAUUA
RNAcentral lists this non-coding RNA (192 nucleotides) under Turicibacter sp. H121. RNAcentral describes it as "6S / SsrS RNA". It matches the Rfam family "6S / SsrS RNA". From Rfam's summary of the family: E. coli 6S RNA was the first non coding RNA to be sequenced, but its function was unknown until recently. It consists of 184 nucleotides that fold into an extended hairpin structure with a large single-stranded internal bulge. Lineage: Bacteria; Bacillati; Bacillota; Erysipelotrichia; Erysipelotrichales; Turicibacteraceae. The record is from Rfam by way of RNAcentral.